Alexandromys fortis (reed vole) is the source of this 2088-nucleotide long non-coding RNA. RefSeq lists it as uncharacterized. The transcript is spliced from 6 exons. Lineage: Eukaryota; Metazoa; Chordata; Mammalia; Rodentia; Cricetidae. The record is from RefSeq and is a predicted model, not a curated record.
GGGCCGAGGAGUAGGGGAAGCAGUUCUCUCAGCUGGCGGGCAGUGGACUGUGCUGGGCUCAGAGAAGAGGCAAAAACAACAGCACAGAGAUGCCCUGAGCAGAGAAGGAAGGGAUUCUGGAAUGCUGUGGCAUUGAAUACAAUUGGGGUCCUCAUGGCCAGGGGGACAGAAAUGUCCCAGCUCACGGGCAUAUACUAUGGGUAGGGGGCAACCCGGUGGAAAUAGCUUGGGGCCGGCGAGAGCAAGGUAAGCUGGGUCCGGGUCCAUUUAGCGAGCAUCAAGACAGCGGCGUCCAAGUCUUCAGGCGACCAGGGCCUCCAGGAGACAGCGCUUCCUGCCACUGCUCAGGACUUGGUCUUUUAUAGGGAAAGACUUGCUUGGGAGUCUUCCAAGAGCUUUUAAAUGAGUCUGGACCUGGGAGCUCCAGUGACGAUUCUUUGAUGUGGCUUCAUAGUCUUUGGUUUUAAAAGGCCAGGAAGAUUCGCAGACUUUAAGAGGCCGCACGCCCCUCGCGCUGCCGGGAGUCUGGGCGGCGGUGAGCGCUCAGGAGCAGAUGCGUGAAUCUCUUCUCAGGCGAUCCCAGAGACAUGAAGGGGUCCCAGGCCAAAUCAAAAUGUUUUCAACUGUAUGACAUGUGUGAAGUUGAUGAAAAUUCAUGACUUCUUUCCAUCUGGGCUGUUUCAGCUUAAGUCAUCAGAGAAAGACUUCCCUUCCAGCUCGGCAAGAGGGUGCAACUGUGACCCUUAGCAAAGCCCCCUUCAGACCACCAGCCUCAGGACAAACACGUUAGUUUGGAUAACCAUUUCACAAACAAUAAUCAAAAGGCUAUCUUUCUUCAAGAUACAGGACUGAGAUGAACUGAAUGGCUGUGAUUAUCAGGACAAGAACGUCUACCUCAGAAUCACUCUUCCUGGGGCAUUCUCUUCUUUAGCAAAGCAGCUAGUCUGUACCCCUCCUCUCUCUCCCCCCACCCCCAUAUGUUUCAUUCAGGUUGCUAACAGGAGCAUGGGUGAGGGGAACACAAACAACUUUCUCUGGCUACACCAUUGAAGAAAUUGUCUCCCCUGCCUGGUUCAGAAACCAGUAACUGCUUGUGAAUCCUUCAGACUGUUUCCUGAGGCAUUUGGAGCUACUUAGCUACAUUAACAUGGGAUAAAGAAUUUUCCUGGAUGAAGAAGCCCUGAGAUGAAGACAGACUAGCCCUGGAUUUUGUUACCUAUCGGUAAACCCACUGUCUCUUUUGGGCAUAUUUGAAAAGAGAUGCUAUACGAAGUCUUCAAAGCUGUGAUUUCUCAUGCGCAGGGACAGGAGGACAGUGUUAGGAGGAGAGCUCAGCCUUUAGCCUGUUGACAAGGUCAUUCUAAGCGGCUCCCUGAGGUUUCCCAUGUGAACUUGGCCAACAGGACAUGAGCCAACCCGCGGAAGCUCCCAUGAUGACCAAUGUGAAGGUUCUCUUCUUCAAGCUUUAGAUCAAAGCCUUGUGCUUCGUGCUGAGUUGCAAAGAAGAAGAAUUAGCUGCCUUAGCACCAAGAUGCUGCUGUUCUUUAGUAACAAUGUGCUCCACACAUUUCCCAGAACGUCACAUUAAGGUGAUUGGGGGAGAGAUAUUGGGAUGAAAUUGAAUCUGGAGAAUUCUUUGGACUCUUCCAUGAACUGAAACUAGGAUGUUUCACAAGAAGAUGGUAGAGUAUUAAAAAACAUGAGAAAAAGAUGCAGAUGAUUUCACGAUGGCGAAUGACUUUGUCAAAUGAAUGUGACAUUUUAAAAUCAUCGCACAAGUCACCCAAGGACAUAAAUGAAGAAAACUUCAGGUCGCUGUCUACCUGGGCAUUGUGUCUCCUCACUGCUACUACCCUGUCCCUUUGGCUGCCUUUAGUCAUCCUCCCCUGCCCCAACACUAUACCUAACAGACAGGCUUGGUGUCCUAGGACACUGGGGUCAAAUGGCUGGAGGUCUGGAGGUCAGCAACCAGAGAGAUGGUGGCUCCUGUGUCUUUCCUUGUUCCUCGCUCCACCCUGUUUCACCACCACCUCUCACGAACACUUGUUUCCCAGCACUAGGAGGGUUUCAGAUGGAAUAAAACGGCCA